RNAcentral lists this long non-coding RNA (302 nucleotides) under Gossypium raimondii (Peruvian cotton). RNAcentral describes it as "long non-coding RNA (GRAI_LNC008241)". The record is from RNAcentral. Lineage: Eukaryota; Viridiplantae; Streptophyta; Magnoliopsida; Malvales; Malvaceae.
CAAGCUGCUUGAAUGAAGCAGGCACCCCAUGUCCUCCAAUGGUAAGAAUGAUAGCGGAAGGUAUGCUGAAGCUUCUUGCUAUGAAGACGUCGAAACUGAUUGGCCACGAAUUUGAGAUCUUCUGCUCUUAAUGCAAAUGCCUCUACUUCAACCAGGGCUCUUACCGUUCUAGUGGAUGAAGGUAAGUUCAGAGAGGAUUUUGGAAGCAAUGCCCAUGAAAGUAGCUCCUCGCCGCAGAAGUCACCUGGUCUCAGAUUAAUUGAAUUGAAGAAACCUGUCCGUCCUCCAUUUGUGGUAGAACU